UUCCAGACUCCUACGGGAGGCAGCAGUGGGGAAUAUUGCACAAUGGGGGAAACCCUGAUGCAGCAACGCCGCGUGAGUGAAGAAGUCAUUCGUGAUGUAAAGCUCUAUCAGCAGGGAAGAAAAUGACGGUACCUGAGUAAGAAGCCCCGGCUAACUACGUGCCAGCAGCCGCGGUAAUACGUAGGGGGCAAGCGUUAUCCGGAUUUACUGGGUGUAAAGGGAGCGUAGACGGCCAGACAAGUCUGAAGUGAAAGCCCGGGGCCCAACCCCGGGACUGCUCUGGAAACUGCGUCGCUGGAGUACGGGAGGGGCAGGCGGAAUUCCUGGUGUAGCGGUGAAAUGCGUAGAUAUCAGGAGGAACACCGGCGGCGUAGGCGGCCUGCUGGACCGUGACUGACGUUGAGGCUCGAGAGCGUGGGGAGCAAACAGGAUUAGAUACCCUGGUAA
This 447-nucleotide ribosomal RNA is filed under the name uncultured bacterium. Its description in RNAcentral is "bacterial SSU rRNA". It matches the Rfam family "Bacterial small subunit ribosomal RNA", at positions 329 to 793 of the family's 1533-position model. The record is from RNAcentral.